CCUACGGGGGGCUGCAGUGGGGAAUAUUGCACAAUGGGGGAAACCCUGAUGCAGCAACGCCGCGUGAGUGAAGAAGUAUUUCGGUAUGUAAAGCUCUAUCAGCAGGGAAGAAGAAAGACGGUACCUGACGAAGAAGCCCCGGCUAACUACGUGCCAGCAGCCGCGGUAAUACGUAGGGGGCAAGCGUUAUCCGGAUUUACGGGGUGUAAAGGGAGCGUAGACGGCUGUGGAAGUCUGAAGUGAAAGCCCGGGGCUCAACCGCGGAACUGCUUUGGAAACUGUCUAGCUUGAGUACUGGAGAGGCAGGCGGAAUUCCUAGUGUAGCGGUGAAAUGCGUAGAUAUUAGGAGGAACACCAGUGGCGAAGGCGGCCUGCUGGACAGAAACUGACGUUGAGGCUCGAAAGCGUGGGGAGCAAACAGGAUUAGAUACCCUUGUAGUC
Molecule: ribosomal RNA, 441 nt
Filed under: uncultured bacterium
Lineage: Bacteria
Description: partial 16S ribosomal RNA
Rfam family: Bacterial small subunit ribosomal RNA
Source: RNAcentral